GAAAAUUUAGUUAAAUAAAAUAACAUUAAUUUGUCAAAUUAAAAUUAUUAUCAAUAAUAAUUUUCU
RNAcentral lists this transfer RNA (66 nucleotides) under Cucujus sp. MJ-2020. RNAcentral's name for it is "tRNA-Asp". Lineage: Eukaryota; Metazoa; Arthropoda; Insecta; Coleoptera; Cucujidae. The record is from RNAcentral.